This 16-nucleotide transfer RNA is filed under the name Mesoptychia morrisonicola. Its description in RNAcentral is "partial tRNA-Phe". Lineage: Eukaryota; Viridiplantae; Streptophyta; Jungermanniopsida; Jungermanniales; Jungermanniaceae. The record is from RNAcentral. RNAcentral also lists the same sequence under 4 other names.
UGCCGGAAUAGCUCAG